UACAGAGGUCCCAAGCGUUGUUCGGAUUCACUGGGCGUAAAGGGUGCGUAGGUGGUCGGGUAAGUCUGAUGUGAAAUCUUCGAGCUCAACUCGAAAAUGGCAUUGGAUACUAUUCGGCUGGAGGGUUGGAAGGGGGACUGGAAUUCUCGGUGUAGCAGUGAAAUGCGUAGAUAUCGAGAGGAACACCGGUGGCGAAGGCGAGUCCCUGGACAAUCCCUGACACUGAGGCACGAAAGCUAGGGGAGCAAACAGG
RNAcentral lists this ribosomal RNA (253 nucleotides) under uncultured bacterium. RNAcentral describes it as "partial 16S ribosomal RNA". It matches the Rfam family "Bacterial small subunit ribosomal RNA", at positions 524 to 776 of the family's 1533-position model. The record is from RNAcentral.